UGGGGAAUCUUCCGCAAUGGACGAAAGUCUGACGGAGCAACGCCGCGUGAGUGAAGAAGGUCUUCGGAUUGUAAAACUCUGUUUUUUGGGAAGAAGGGCAUAUGUGUGAAUAAUGCAUAUGAUUGACGGUACCAAAAGAGGAAGCCCCGGCUAACUACGUGCCAGCAGCCGCGGUAAUACGUAGGGGGCAAGCGUUGUCCGGAUUUAUUGGGCGUAAAGAGCGCGCAGGCGGCUAUUUAAGUCUACCGUGAAAGCUUACGGCUCAACCGUAACGGGUCGGUGGAUACUGGAUGGCUUGAGGGCAGGAGAGGAAAGUGGAAUUCCCAGUGUAGCGGUGAAAUGCGUAGAGAUUGGGAGGAACACCAGUGGCGAAGGCGACUUUCUGGACUGUUACUGACGCUGAGGCGCGAAAGCUGGGGGAGUGAACGGG
This 430-nucleotide ribosomal RNA is filed under the name uncultured prokaryote. Its description in RNAcentral is "bacterial SSU rRNA". It matches the Rfam family "Bacterial small subunit ribosomal RNA", at positions 355 to 776 of the family's 1533-position model. RNAcentral also lists the same sequence under 1 other name. The record is from RNAcentral.